Molecule: ribosomal RNA, 458 nt
Filed under: uncultured bacterium
Lineage: Bacteria
Description: partial 16S ribosomal RNA
Rfam family: Bacterial small subunit ribosomal RNA
Source: RNAcentral
CCUACGGGCGGCAGCAGUGAGGAAUAUUGGUCAAUGGGCGAGAGCCUGAACCAGCCAAGUCGCGUGAGGGAGUACUGCCCUAUGGGUUGUAAACCUCUUUUGUCGGGGAGCAAAAGCCGGACGUGUCCGUCUGUGAGAGUACCCGAAGACAAAGCAUCGGCUAACUCCGUGCCAGCAGCCGCGGUAAUACGGAGGAUGCGAGCGUUAUCCGGAUUUAUUGGGUUUAAAGGGUGCGCAGGCGGAUUUUUAAGUCAGCGGUCAAAUCAUGGGGCUCAACCCCAUCCAGCCGUUGAAACUGGGGGUCUAGAGGGUGCGGGAGGUAGGCGGAAUGCGUGGUGUAGCGGUGAAAUGCAUAGAUAUCACGCAGAACCCCGAUUGCGAAGGCAGCAUACCGGUGCACAACUGACGCUCAGGCACGAAAGCGUGGGUAUCGAACAGGAUUAGAUACCCCAGUAGUC